UACAAACAAGGGAAAUAUUACGAGGUGCAGCGAGGGGAAUGAGGCACCUCAGGGUCACGGAGAGCGGCAGGGAGCGCUCCUGUGUCAUGGGCAGGGACCUGGGGCGUGACAUUCCUUGAGUGCAGAGUGUCACAGUGGCGGAUGUGGAGCGAGGGGGCGUGAGGCGCAUCGGAGGCACGACCACCGGCUCGGUCGAGGGCCUGGAACUCGGAGGGGGUGAUGAAGUGAUAGUCCUCGCCCGGCACCUCCCCCUCCCGAGGGACCCGCGUCGUGCCUGUGGGAAUGGGAGCCGAGAUUCCAGUCGGGAUGCGAGGAGCUGGAUCGGUGCUGUGGCGGUGGUGUUGAAGAGGAAGGUGCAGUAAGGAUGGGGGGGAAAUGGUUUCGAACAGAUCUCCUCUCAUCCUGCUGAAUUCCAGCGAGCACAGUCCCAGGCGAUUCGACCUCUUCUCACAGUCUAAGCCGCUGAUCAACCUGGCACUGAGCUCGAGAAUCAGGAAGGUUGCGGAAAGAUGUCACGAACUUGCAAAGACUGCGGUGGAGACUUACACGAGGAUGUUGCCAGCCGAGGGACGGAGGUUGGUCGGGCCAUAACUUUAUUCCUUGGAACGCAGGAGGCUGAAGGGGUGGCCCAACAGAGGUGUAUAAAAACCAUGGGGGCACAGAUGGGAUGAAAGCGCAAGGCCAUUUUCCCCAUGGUGGGGAAAUGAAGAACCAGAGGCAAUAGGGUGAGAGUGGAGAGAGGCUUAAUAGGGACCCAAGGGACAACUUUUUCACGGAGGGCGGGCUAGGUGGAAGGAGCUGCCAGAGGAAGUGGUUGAGGCAGCGACAUGAACAAUAUAUAUUUUUUAAAAACUCUGCUAAAAAAUGCUUACAGGGAAACGCAGGUGGAAAUCUAGGUCGGCAUGAAGGAGUUGGGCCGAAGUGCCUGUUUCGGAGCAGUUCUGUCUUAUGACACCACGUCCCUGGUGCAGUUGCCCAUUUCCACACCACCAUCCAUACCCCCCCCCCCUCCAAUCCCUCUCCCGUUAUCCCCCCACCCUCCCUCCUCUCCCUGUGGCCUCUCCCGAUUCAGUCGCCAACCAACCCCCAUGGCAGAACCUCCCACCUCCUACCUACCCCACCUCCAGAGCGUCCGAGGGGAGGAUGGUGCUCGCUCAGAGAGGGAGCGGUGGACGAUGCAAACCCAGAGAGAUGCAGGCGAAAAUUUGCAAACAGGAUUGAUUCUCACAUAUUAUUGACUCGCAGAUAUUUGCAAUUACUGACUUGGGACGUGAAAGGGAGCGGCUGCAGUGCGGAGGGAAG
Long non-coding RNA from Hypanus sabinus (Atlantic stingray), 1302 nucleotides. RefSeq lists it as uncharacterized. The record is from RefSeq and is a predicted model, not a curated record. Lineage: Eukaryota; Metazoa; Chordata; Chondrichthyes; Myliobatiformes; Dasyatidae. The transcript has 4 exons.